GCACUGCUGACGAGUCCCAGACAGGACGAAACAACAACAACUGUCCAGUGC
This 51-nucleotide non-coding RNA is filed under the name Echinostoma caproni. The record is from RNAcentral. Lineage: Eukaryota; Metazoa; Platyhelminthes; Trematoda; Plagiorchiida; Echinostomatidae.